GACGAACGCUGGUGGCGUGCUUAACACAUGCAAGUCGAACGGAAAGGCCCUGCUUUUGUGGGGUGCUCGAGUGGCGAACGGGUGAGUAACACGUGAGUAACCUGCCCUUGACUUUGGGAUAACUUCAGGAAACUGGGGCUAAUACCGGAUAGGAGCUCCUGCUGCAUGGUGGGGGUUGGAAAGUUUCGGCGGUUGGGGAUGGACUCGCGGCUUAUCAGCUUGUUGGUGGGGUAGUGGCUUACCAAGGCUUUGACGGGUAGCCGGCCUGAGAGGGUGACCGGCCACAUUGGGACUGAGAUACGGCCCAGACUCCUACGGGAGGCAGCAGUGGGGAAUAUUGCACAAUGGGCGGAAGCCUGAUGCAGCAACGCCGCGUGCGGGAUGACGGCCUUCGGGUUGUAAACCGCUUUCGCCUGUGACGAAGCGUGAGUGACGGUAAUGGGUAAAGAAGCACCGGCUAACUACGUGCCAGCAGCCGCGGUGAUACGUAGGGUGCGAGCGUUGUCCGGAUUUAUUGGGCGUAAAGGGCUCGUAGGUGGUUGAUCGCGUCGGAAGUGUAAUCUUGGGGCUUAACCCUGAGCGUGCUUUCGAUACGGGUUGACUUGAGGAAGGUAGGGGAGAAUGGAAUUCCUGGUGGAGCGGUGGAAUGCGCAGAUAUCAGGAGGAACACCAGUGGCGAAGGCGGUUCUCUGGGCCUUUCCUGACGCUGAGGAGCGAAAGCGUGGGGAGCGAACAGGCUUAGAUACCCUGGUAGUCCACGCUGUAAACGGUGGGUACUAGGUGUGGGGUCCAUUCCACGGGUUCCGUGCCGUAGCUAACGCUUUAAGUACCCCGCCUGGGGAGUACGGCCGCAAGGCUAAAACUCAAAGGAAUUGACGGGGCCCCGCACAAGCGGCGGAGCAUGCGGAUUAAUUCGAUGCAACGCGUAGAACCUUACCUGGGUUUGACAUGGAUCGGGAGUGCUCAGAGAUGGGUGUGCCUCUUUUGGGGUCGGUUCACAGGUGGUGCAUGGCUGUCGUCAGCUCGUGUCGUGAGAUGUUGGGUUAAGUCCCGCAACGAGCGCAACCCUUGUUCACUGUUGCCAGCACGUUAUGGUGGGGACUCAGUGGAGACCGCCGGGGUCAACUCGGAGGAAGGUGGGGAUGACGUCAAGUCAUCAUGCCCCUUAUGUCCAGGGCUUCACGCAUGCUACAAUGGCUGGUACAGAGAGUGGCGAGCCUGUGAGGGUGAGCGAAUCUCGGAAAGCCGGGCUCAGUUCGGAUUGGGGUCUGCAACUCGACCUCAUGAAGUCGGAGUCACUAGUAAUCGCAGAUCAGCAACGCUGCGGUGAAUACGUUCCCGGGGCU
Molecule: ribosomal RNA, 1346 nt
Filed under: uncultured bacterium
Lineage: Bacteria
Description: partial 16S ribosomal RNA
Rfam family: Bacterial small subunit ribosomal RNA
Source: RNAcentral